AAUGAAGUGUCUGACUAAAAGAGUUAUUUUGAUAGAAUAAAAAAUGUAAAAUUUACCUUCAUUA
Molecule: transfer RNA, 64 nt
Filed under: Aulacochthebius sp. IBE<ESP> RA1155
Lineage: Eukaryota; Metazoa; Arthropoda; Insecta; Coleoptera; Hydraenidae
Description: tRNA-Ile
Source: RNAcentral